AAGCUGGUUUGAUUUACUAGCAGAGCCAACAGAAUUGCUGCGCGUGAACUCUGCAGAGACUGAAAGGGAGAGAUGAGCCUUGGAAAGGUCAUCCACCAAAGUGGUCUGCGACAUCAAAAAAUUGAAAAUUAGUGUGUAGCUGCAGCUAAUGGACCUUAAUACAUCUUGAAUUGUCCUACCGGGAGCAGGAAACAGUUGCAGAGGAUGGAUGAGAGUGAAGAUCCAGUCUGGUCAUGGCGAUGGAGGUUGGGUCAAGUUCUUUACAUUUAGUGCGUUGUCUCCAGGUAAGGAGAACUUAAAGGAAGAAUUGCUAUUGGGGAGCACCAGGCAUAGUUUUUUUCUGGUUAACAACCUCUUACGGACCACAGAUUGCCUCCGUGUGAGGUGGAAAUCCGUGUCUGAAAUCUGGUAUAGGCUAUCUUUAUUUCUGUUUCAUGGUACAGGUCUUCCCAGCUCCAGCUGGAAUAGCUGUUAUGUCAUUAGGUGGUGCCAGUCGCGUCAGCAGCCUGGUUUGCUCGUCCGCGUUUGUGUUCUGGCUCAGCUGCCUGCCGACCUCCGUGAUGAACAGCAGACUUUCAGCACAUACAAAUGGCCAGCCGUUAUGCUCCCUUUAAAUGGCUUUCAGAUAAAUACAAAGGGAGGAGAUAAAUGA
Molecule: long non-coding RNA, 652 nt
Filed under: Anser brachyrhynchus (Pink-footed goose)
Lineage: Eukaryota; Metazoa; Chordata; Aves; Anseriformes; Anatidae
Description: lncRNA (ENSABRG00000005823.1)
Source: RNAcentral